This 429-nucleotide ribosomal RNA is filed under the name Acidobacteriota bacterium. RNAcentral describes it as "Acidobacteria bacterium partial 16S ribosomal RNA". It matches the Rfam family "Bacterial small subunit ribosomal RNA", at positions 355 to 776 of the family's 1533-position model. The record is from RNAcentral. Lineage: Bacteria; Pseudomonadati; Acidobacteriota.
UGGGGAAUUUUGGACAAUGGGGGAAACCCUGAUCCAGCCAUCCCGCGUGUGCGAUGAAGGCCUUCGGGUUGUAAAGCACUUUUGGCAGGAAAGAAACGUCAUGGGUUAAUACCCCGUGAAACUGACGGUACCUGCAGAAUAAGCACCGGCUAACUACGUGCCAGCAGCCGCGGUAAUACGUAGGGUGCAAGCGUUAAUCGGAAUUACUGGGCGUAAAGCGUGCGCAGGCGGUUCGGAAAGAAAGAUGUGAAAUCCCAGAGCUCAACUUUGGAACUGCAUUUUUAACUACCUGGCUAGAGUGUGUCAGAGGGAGGUGGAAUUCCGCGUGUAGCAGUGAAAUGCGUAGAUAUGCGGAGGAACACCGAUGGCGAAGGCAGCCUCCUGGGAUGACACUGACGCUCAUGCACGAAAGCGUGGGGAGCAAACAGG